This 253-nucleotide ribosomal RNA is filed under the name uncultured bacterium. RNAcentral describes it as "partial 16S ribosomal RNA". It matches the Rfam family "Archaeal small subunit ribosomal RNA", at positions 474 to 727 of the family's 1478-position model. The record is from RNAcentral.
UACCAGCACCCCGAGUGGUCGGUACGAUUAUUGGGCCUAAAGCAUCCGUAGCCGGUUUUACAAGUCCUCCGUUAAAUCCAGCUGCUUAACAGAUGGGCUGCGGAGGAUACUAUAAGACUAGGAGGCAGGAGAGGCAAGCGGUACUCAGUGGGUAGGGGUAAAAUCCGUUGAUCCAUUGAAGACCACCAGUGGCGAAGGCGGCUUGCCAGAAUGCGCUCGACGGUGAGGGAUGAAAGCUGGGGGAGCAAACCAG